CUGGGGCACAUUUUUAUUAGUUUAUGCCACUGGGUCAAAAGAUUUUUUGAAAAAUUUCUUGUUCUCUCAUUUCUAGAGGGCUUGGAAAAACUUGAGUAUGCAUAUAUACAAAAAAAAGAAGAAGCCCAAAGAGAGGAUGAAGAUUCUGGAGAGAAGCAAGCUCUGAGGAGCCAUUCUUAGGUCACAGGCAGUGAGCUGGCUUCGGCCCAUGGCUGGGAGUCUACCCACACCUGGACGAGGCUGUCACCACCUCGAAGGAAGGAUUACCUGUAAGAUGUAAAACAUCAUCCCUGGGCAGCACGGGGCACACAGAAGACAGUACAUAGAUGCUUACUUUUCAUCGAGUCUGGAUGUUCCUGAAAUCAACAGGAGGCAAAGAACUUUAGCUCGCUUGUAGCAAUAACCACUGUGCAUAGAAACACACAGGCGCCACUGUCUCUCGUGGAGGAAGGAUGUUGGUCGAGGGUCUGUUCCAGAUGCUAAAGACAGGCGCUGGCAGAAACAUUUCCUUAGAUCCUUAAGUGAAGCUGCUAGCCUGCGAAGUUUCCACCAGAUGGCACCAAAACACUAUAUUCCAAGCACUAAGCCGUCACCGCGCCUUCAGGAGAAAGAGCCGGAACCUUCCGCUCCUCUGAGAUGAUCAAGCACAGGCCCAGGGGACACCUGCCACAGCAUAUGGCUUGACAAGCGGUGCAUAGGUCCACACCUGGGAUCCGAACUGGUGAACCCUGGGCUGCGGAACUGGAACAUGUGAACUUAACUGCUGCGCCACCAGGCUGGCCCCCGUAUACACUUUUAUGAUAUUUUGUAGGUAUACUCUUUUGUAAAAUUUUGCCAACAACUGUAACAUGCAUGUACAUAUACAGAAAGUACAUAAAUAUUUCUUGUUUUGCAAAGAUGUGUGUGCAUGGGGGGUGGGUGCUGUGUCUUCCCACUGCACAGAGUCGCUGUGUCUUGCUCUAGACAUUGGAAGCAUUUCUGGCUGCUUCCUUACCCUGGGGAGUCAUCUGAACGUCCAGAGUUCCCAAAGUGCUUUGGGAUGGCUUAGGCUAAAAGAUGCUAUUUGUUGUGAAGCUAGCUUGUUUUAUUCCCAAGGGAAUUUCAUCAUUUUUGUAUUUGUGAAAACUGUCAUAUUUGGAGAUCUGGGUCUUUCUCAAAAUGCAAUUAUCUGAAAGAAGCAAACCAACACAGAGUAGACCCCUUGUCUUCAAAGUCAUUUUAUUAAGAGUAAAUUAGACUGGAAAAAUGAUAGUCUAAAAUGCAUUUUCAAUAGAUUGCUGUCUAAAAUGCAUUUUCAAUAGAUGGCUGUCAGGCCUGCUACCUGUCAAACAGAGAGGCCUGCAGUCUCAUAGUGACAUAUGGAUUAGCCCAGGCUUCCCCGCAGCGUGAAAACAAAAGACAAUUGGUGAUGCAUGGGGCAAACUCAUCUUAAAACAGAGAUAUCAACAAAGGAAUAUGACAGAAUGAAAAGACUGAGUGCAGGCUGCUGUCCACAUUUGCAAAGAGAUUCUGUCUGAAUCCAUAACUUCAAUACAAUAUGAG
This 1542-nucleotide long non-coding RNA is filed under the name Equus caballus (horse). RNAcentral's name for it is "lncRNA (ENSECAG00000037319.3)". The record is from RNAcentral. Lineage: Eukaryota; Metazoa; Chordata; Mammalia; Perissodactyla; Equidae.